AUGGAUACGGCGCGGGACGGCGAAGCUAAUGGACGAUGCGGGGCAGCCGGGGGUACCAAGAACCGGCGGGGAGAUGCGGCGGUGGCAGCGGCGGGGAGUGAGGCGGGAACGGAAGCUGGAGGAAAUGGCUUUCGCGCAAGGGAAGGGGAUCCGGCAAAAACAUGUGUGGAUCUCGUAGAUAUGACGGAAACGACUCGAGUAUGCAGAAUCCCACAUCAAAAAGUCAGGAUGGCCGAUUAUAAGGGGUCUAUUCGGGCCGGAAAAAUCGGCCAUGUCCUGUGA
This 282-nucleotide ribosomal RNA is filed under the name Triticum aestivum (bread wheat). Its description in RNAcentral is "partial small subunit ribosomal RNA". Lineage: Eukaryota; Viridiplantae; Streptophyta; Magnoliopsida; Poales; Poaceae. The record is from RNAcentral.